Molecule: long non-coding RNA, 620 nt
Organism: Cylas formicarius (sweet potato weevil)
Lineage: Eukaryota; Metazoa; Arthropoda; Insecta; Coleoptera; Brentidae
Exons: 4
Source: RefSeq, a predicted model, not a curated record
UAUAAAUACAUCUCAUUUUUCUCUGUUUUGUCAGUAGUUGUUUUUGGUAUUAUUCGUGCAACGUGGAAGCUAACUUAGUGGUUUGGUGUUCGUACAAAAAAGCAGUCCUAAAGAUCAUCUUAGUACUCUCAACCCGUAACCGCAAAUAGAAUAGCAGCAAUCUUAAGCAUGGACUUAAGUCAACUGAAUCAAACCUGUCUUGCAGAAGGUGAUUUUGAGCAGCCGAUUGUCAAACUGCAUGAAUUGUCGAUAGGCGUUCCGUUUUAAAUUACUAGAGCCAAAAUUGUUAAUACAAAAUUUGGCAAUUCCGUGUUGCUGCAAUUAGAAAAUUCCGUAGUAUUUCUUCCUACUCGCGUGACAGAAGCUUUCCGUCCGAGACUAGGACACUUUGCGUCGGGGCAGUACAAACUGGUCUACGAGGGAUCCAAAGAUAUUGGAAAGCCCAACUCUUUAAAGAAAUUCAAAAUAAUUCAAAAUUAAUCAACAUAUUAUACAGGAUUAUGGUCAAACAACUUACAUUAGAAAGCCUUUGUAUUAUAACAAUUUGCGAAAAUAUUAGGUGUAGUGCUGAUUUUUUGCUUGAGUCACCUUUGCCUUGGAAACUAACGAUACUAAUAUUU